UUUAUGGAGAGUUUGAUCCUGGCUCAGGAUGAACGCUGGCGGCGUGCCUAAUACAUGCAAGUCGAGCGAACGGACGAGAAGCUUGCUUCUCUGAUGUUAGCGGCGGACGGGUGAGUAACACGUGGAUAACCUACCUAUAAGACUGGGAUAACUUCGGGAAACCGGAGCUAAUACCGGAUAAUAUUUUGAACCGCAUGGUUCAAAAGUGAAAGACGGUCUUGCUGUCACUUAUAGAUGGAUCCGCGCUGCAUUAGCUAGUUGGUAAGGUAACGGCUUACCAAGGCAACGAUGCAUAGCCGACCUGAGAGGGUGAUCGGCCACACUGGAACUGAGACACGGUCCAGACUCCUACGGGAGGCAGCAGUAGGGAAUCUUCCGCAAUGGGCGAAAGCCUGACGGAGCAACGCCGCGUGAGUGAUGAAGGUCUUCGGAUCGUAAAACUCUGUUAUUAGGGAAGAACAUAUGUGUAAGUAACUGUGCACAUCUUGACGGUACCUAAUCAGAAAGCCACGGCUAACUACGUGCCAGCAGCCGCGGUAAUACGUAGGUGGCAAGCGUUAUCCGGAAUUAUUGGGCGUAAAGCGCGCGUAGGCGGUUUUUUAAGUCUGAUGUGAAAGCCCACGGCUCAACCGUGGAGGGUCAUUGGAAACUGGAAAACUUGAGUGCAGAAGAGGAAAGUGGAAUUCCAUGUGUAGCGGUGAAAUGCGCAGAGAUAUGGAGGAACACCAGUGGCGAAGGCGACUUUCUGGUCUGUAACUGACGCUGAUGUGCGAAAGCGUGGGGAUCAAACAGGAUUAGAUACCCUGGUAGUCCACGCCGUAAACGAUGAGUGCUAAGUGUUAGGGGGUUUCCGCCCCUUAGUGCUGCAGCUAACGCAUUAAGCACUCCGCCUGGGGAGUACGACCGCAAGGUUGAAACUCAAAGGAAUUGACGGGGACCCGCACAAGCGGUGGAGCAUGUGGUUUAAUUCGAAGCAACGCGAAGAACCUUACCAAAUCUUGACAUCCUUUGACAACUCUAGAGAUAGAGCCUUCCCCUUCGGGGGACAAAGUGACAGGUGGUGCAUGGUUGUCGUCAGCUCGUGUCGUGAGAUGUUGGGUUAAGUCCCGCAACGAGCGCAACCCUUAAGCUUAGUUGCCAUCAUUAAGUUGGGCACUCUAAGUUGACUGCCGGUGACAAACCGGAGGAAGGUGGGGAUGACGUCAAAUCAUCAUGCCCCUUAUGAUUUGGGCUACACACGUGCUACAAUGGACAAUACAAAGGGCAGCGAAACCGCGAGGUCAAGCAAAUCCCAUAAAGUUGUUCUCAGUUCGGAUUGUAGUCUGCAACUC
This 1331-nucleotide ribosomal RNA is filed under the name Staphylococcus aureus. RNAcentral's name for it is "bacterial SSU rRNA". It matches the Rfam family "Bacterial small subunit ribosomal RNA", at positions 1 to 1313 of the family's 1533-position model. The record is from RNAcentral. Lineage: Bacteria; Bacillati; Bacillota; Bacilli; Caryophanales; Staphylococcaceae.